Molecule: long non-coding RNA, 300 nt
Organism: Chroicocephalus ridibundus (black-headed gull)
Lineage: Eukaryota; Metazoa; Chordata; Aves; Charadriiformes; Laridae
Exons: 3
Source: RefSeq, a predicted model, not a curated record
CAGCUGUGGAACAGAGGUGACUUGUCCCUGAUCACAUGCAAAGCUGAAGGCAGAGCUGGGAGUGUGACUCAGAUCUCUAGCACGCUCGGUGCACAGUUAGCGGUGAAACUCCGCAGCACAACAGUUUGAUGAGGCCGCGAUCUUGGAAAGAUACAAAAAGAGAUGGGCUGUUUCAGGUGGAUCACAAGGAAAUCCUGAAUUAUAAAGGAGAGAUCAGGAUGCCCGAGGAGCGAGGUGCCGGCCACGCCAGCGGGUUCAGCAGGAGGCACUGUUAGGCUUGGCUUUGACUGCUGAGAGAGG